CUAGGGAGGCAGCAGUGGGGAAUCUUGCGCAAUGGGCGAAAGCCUGACGCAGCAACGCCGCGUGUGUGAUGAAGGUCUUCGGAUCGUAAAGCACUGUCGGGAGGGACGAAUAAGGCCGGCGCUAACAUCGCCGGACGAUGACGGUACCUCCAAAGGAAGCACCGGCUAACUCUGUGCCAGCAGCCGCGGUAAUACAGAGGGUGCAAGCGUUGUUCGGAAUUAUUGGGCGUAAAGCGCGUGUAGGCGGCCAGCCAAGUCGGGUGUGAAAGCCCUCGGCUUAACCGAGGAAGUGCGCCCGAAACUAGCUGGCCUGAGUACCGGAGAGGGUGGCGGAAUUCCCGGUGUAGAGGUGAAAUUCGUAGAUAUCGGGAGGAACACCAGUGGCGAAGGCGGCCACCUGGACGGAUACUGACGCUGAGACGCGAAAGCGUGGGGAGCAAACAGGAUUAGAUACCCUGGUAGA
RNAcentral lists this ribosomal RNA (463 nucleotides) under uncultured bacterium. RNAcentral describes it as "bacterial SSU rRNA". It matches the Rfam family "Bacterial small subunit ribosomal RNA", at positions 339 to 794 of the family's 1533-position model. The record is from RNAcentral.